RNAcentral lists this unclassified non-coding RNA (1278 nucleotides) under Hevea brasiliensis (rubber tree). Lineage: Eukaryota; Viridiplantae; Streptophyta; Magnoliopsida; Malpighiales; Euphorbiaceae. The record is from RNAcentral.
AGCAAACCUAUUUUCUCCCGAAGUCUUUCUUUUCCUCAUUCGUUUUCGCUCAAUCCUGAUUUUAAUUACAUUGCAACUUCUUAUCACCGAUUUCUCCCUGUGUUUGUUUGUGAUUUGACGGGGAUCACCUGUUUGUUUUUGUUGUAUUUUCAUGGAGAUCCCAGUGAUCAAUCGAAUUGGCGAUUUUGAAGCCGGCAUAACCUCUCUGCAAAACCCAUCUUUACUUUCCCAGAUUUUUGCUCCAUCUGGGGUCGAAAAGAUUCACCAUGCUUACAGUUUUUGGAAGUGGGGAGCUUUGAUUCUUGCCCUACUCGCCUCUUUUUCCACCAUAAUCAAUAGAAUUAAGAUGCUCAUCAUUCGAAUUCAAAACCGUUAUUUAAUCACUUCUGAAACUCCUCUCAUCACCGAUGAUGAUUAUGACUACGGCAGCGAAACAGACACGUCUUGUUCGUCGCUAUCAGAAGACGACGACGAAGCAGAAGAAGAUGAACAUGCAUCAUCGUCUUCGAAUUCACAGAGCUGGAGGUCCGUUGAUGAAGAUUUUAGUGUCAGAGGUUCCGGUUAUUAUGCCGAUGAUCAGUUGCAUAAUCGUAAUUUAAGGAGACGUAGAAACAGUAGCCUUGGAGACCUCUUUUCAUCAUGGUCUGAGUUCACAAAUGGGAAGAACGUAGUGAAGCUCUGGGAUAACUUAGGUUUAGGAUUAGGAUUAAACCUUGACAACGAGUCAAGAAAUUGCAUGUCAGUUUAUGAUAUGAAUAAGUCGCUCAAUGUAUUUUCCAUUUUUGGUGAGAAAAGCGACAUUCCGGCAGUUUCCAUGUCGUCUUCGUCGCCGUCAGUGAUCGUUUCUGCUGAUACAAACGUGUCUGGACACUUAUUGAGGGUGUGGGACACUCGGGUCGGGAGUCGGAUCCCAGAAAUAAUAGCGGAGUGGCGGCCGAUGUUGGGAAAAUUUGUCGGAAUAAAUGCCGGCGGCGGGCAGAAGGUUUACGUUAGAGAUGACAUCACGGGGAGAUUAACGGUGGGUGACAUGAGAAAAGUUAGCUCACCGCUAGCAAAUGCAACGGAAUCCGACUUGGAUACGUGGUGGGAUGCUGACGCCGUUAUGAUCGCGAAAGAAGAGUCUGUUGACGCGUUAAGUGGUGGUGACUCGGUGUUGCGACGCGCUUAAGGGUCUGAGUCUUAGCUGUUUUGGCCGUAGAAUGGCGAAACAGUCAAUUAUGAGAAAAAUAUGUAAAUAUUUAAUUAUUUGGCAAUAAAUAAUAAAAUCAAACUAAUUAA